Molecule: ribosomal RNA, 424 nt
Filed under: Verrucomicrobiota bacterium
Lineage: Bacteria; Pseudomonadati; Verrucomicrobiota
Description: Verrucomicrobia bacterium partial 16S ribosomal RNA
Rfam family: Bacterial small subunit ribosomal RNA
Source: RNAcentral
UGAGGAAUAUUGGUCAAUGGACGCAAGUCUGAACCAGCCAAGUAGCGUGCAGGAUGACGGCCCUAUGGGUUGUAAACUGCUUUUAUAUGGGGAUAAAGUGGGGAACGUGUUCCCUUUUGCAGGUACCAUAUGAAUAAGGACCGGCUAAUUCCGUGCCAGCAGCCGCGGUAAUACGGAAGGUUCGGGCGUUAUCCGGAUUUAUUGGUUUUAAAGGGAGCGUAGGCCGUUUGGUAAGCGUGUUGUGAAAUGUAGGAGCUCAACUUCUAGAUUGCAGCGCGAACUGUCAGACUUGAGUGCGCACAACGUAGGCGGAAUUCAUGGUGUAGCGGUGAAAUGCUUAGAUAUCAUGACGAACUCCGAUUGCGAAGGCAGCUUACGGGAGCGCAACUGACGCUAAAGCUCGAAGGUGCGGGUAUCGAACAGG